Molecule: ribosomal RNA, 473 nt
Filed under: uncultured bacterium
Lineage: Bacteria
Description: bacterial SSU rRNA
Rfam family: Bacterial small subunit ribosomal RNA
Source: RNAcentral
UCGGGAAUUUUGGGCAAUGGGCGAAAGCCUGACCCAGCAACGCCGCGUGAAGGAUGAAGGUCUUCGGAUCGUAAACCCCUGUCGAAUGGGACGAAUAGCCCGCGAAUUAAUACCUCGUGGGAAUGACGGUACCGUUAAAGGAAGCCACGGCUAACUCUGUGCCAGCAGCCGCGGUAAUACAGAGGUGGCAAGCGUUGUUCGGAAUUACUGGGCGUAAAGGGCGCGUAGGCGGCCAUCUAAGUCAGACGUGAAAUCCCCCGGCUCAACCUGGGAACUGCGUCUGAUACUGGGAGGCUAGAGUUUGGGAGAGGGAUGUAGAAUUCCAGGUGUAGCGGUGAAAUGCGUAGAUAUCUGGAGGAAUACCGGUGGCGAAGGCGGCAUCCUGGACCAAUACUGACGCUGAGGCGCGAAAGCUAGGGGAGCAAACGGGAUUAGAUACCCAUGUAGUCCCUGAGCGGGCUGGCAAGGCGCAU